This 496-nucleotide ribosomal RNA is filed under the name uncultured bacterium. RNAcentral's name for it is "partial 16S ribosomal RNA". It matches the Rfam family "Bacterial small subunit ribosomal RNA", at positions 28 to 506 of the family's 1533-position model. The record is from RNAcentral.
GAUGAACGCUGGCGGCGUGCCUAAUACAUGCAAGUCGAGCGAACAGACGAGGAGCUUGCUCCUUCGACGUUAGCGGCGGACGGGUGAGUAACACGUAGGUAACCUACCUAUAAGACUGGGAUAACUUCGGGAAACCGGAGCUAAUACCGGAUAAUAUUUCGAACCGCAUGGUUCGAUAGUGAAAGAUGGCUUUGCUAUCACUUAUAGAUGGACCUGCGCCGUAUUAGCUAGUUGGUAAGGUAACGGCUUACCAAGGCAACGAUACGUAGCCGACCUGAGAGGGUGGUCGGCCCCGCUGGAACUGAGACGCGGACCAAGCUCCGAGGGGAGGCAGCAGUAGGGAAUCUACCAAAAUGGGCAAAACCCUGAAGGAGAAACGCCGGGUGAGUGAAAGAGGUCUUCGGAUUGAAAACCUUUGUUAUUAGGAAAACAAAAACGGAAAGAAACGUGUGGCCUUUGUAACGGUACCUAAUCAAAAAGCCGCGGCAAACUGCGU